RNAcentral lists this ribosomal RNA (113 nucleotides) under Anser brachyrhynchus (Pink-footed goose). The record is from RNAcentral. Lineage: Eukaryota; Metazoa; Chordata; Aves; Anseriformes; Anatidae.
UCCCAGAGGAAUAUUGCAUUUGAGCCUCGUCCCUUGUCUCACAAGCUAAGAUGUGUCAAGCUAGGUCAGUCUCAGAUGAGAGACCUCCAAGGAAGACCUAGUUAUUGUGAGGA